UCCCGCACAAGCGGUGGAUGAUGUGGAUUAAUUCGAUGCAACGCGAACAACCUUACCUACCCUUGACAUGUCUGGAAGGCUUCCGAGAGGAGGCUGUGCCUGAAAGGGAACCGGAACACAGGUGCUGCAUGGCUGUCGUCAGCUCGUGUCGUGAGAUGUUGGGUUAAGUCCCGCAACGAGCGCAACCCUUGUCCCUAGUUGCUACGCAAGGGCACUCUAGGGAGACUGCCGGUGACAAACCGGAGGAAGGUGGGGAUG
Molecule: unclassified non-coding RNA, 258 nt
Filed under: uncultured Gammaproteobacteria bacterium
Lineage: Bacteria; Pseudomonadati; Pseudomonadota; Gammaproteobacteria
Description: contains 16S-23S intergenic spacer region
Rfam family: Bacterial small subunit ribosomal RNA
Source: RNAcentral